GCUAUACAUGCAGUCGAGCGAAUGACGAAGAGCUUGCUUCUUCUGAUUUAGCGGCGGACGGGUGAGUAACACGUGGGCAACCUGCCCUGUAGAUUGGGAUAACUCCGGGAAACCGGGGCUAAUACCGAAUAAUCCAUUUCCUCACAUGGGGAGAUGUUAAAAGACGGCAUCUCGCUGUCACUACAGGAUGGGCCCGCGGCGCAUUAGCUAGUUGGUGAGGUAACGGCUCACCAAGGCGACGAUGCGUAGCCGACCUGAGAGGGUGAUCGGCCACACUGGGACUGAGACACGGCCCAGACUCCUACGGGAGGCAGCAGUAGGGAAUCUUCCACAAUGGACGAAAGUCUGAUGGAGCAAUGCCGCGUGAGUGAAGAAGGUUUUCGGAUCGUAAAACUCUGUUGUGAGGGAAGAACAAGUACGAGAGUAACUGCUCGUACCUUGACGGUACCUCAUUAGAAAGCCACGGCUAACUACGUGCCANCAGCCGCGGUAAUACGUAGGUGGCA
RNAcentral lists this ribosomal RNA (506 nucleotides) under bacterium fme09x28p245. Its description in RNAcentral is "bacterial SSU rRNA". It matches the Rfam family "Bacterial small subunit ribosomal RNA", at positions 48 to 536 of the family's 1533-position model. The record is from RNAcentral.